RNAcentral lists this ribosomal RNA (166 nucleotides) under uncultured bacterium. RNAcentral describes it as "partial 16S ribosomal RNA". It matches the Rfam family "Bacterial small subunit ribosomal RNA", at positions 355 to 511 of the family's 1533-position model. The record is from RNAcentral.
UAGGGAAUCUUCGGCAAUGGACGAAAGUCUGACCGAGCAACGCCGCGUGAGUGAAGAAGGUUUUUCGGAUCGUAAAACUCUGUUGGUAGAGAAGAACGUUGGUGAGAGUGGAAAGCUCAUCAAGUGACGGUAACUACCCAGAAAGGGACGGCUAACUACGUGCCAG